This 1105-nucleotide long non-coding RNA is filed under the name Anas platyrhynchos platyrhynchos (common mallard). Its description in RNAcentral is "lncRNA (ENSAPLG00000022801.1)". The record is from RNAcentral. Lineage: Eukaryota; Metazoa; Chordata; Aves; Anseriformes; Anatidae.
AGGUUUUGAACUUGGCAGGAAAAUGAAGGUUGGAAUAGUCACCCUGAUCAGCUCCAGGAAUUUAACAAAUUUAUCUUAGUCUCAUGUGGUGUAAAUGCCUGAAGUAACUAGGAAAAUAAAACUAACAUUCACACUUUUAAGGAAAAGGUACAGCAUUGAAGAGGCUUUCAGGGUAGGGCAUAACUGCAUUAUCUGAGCAUUCCCUAGGCUCCCAACCUUAGAUGCUAUCGCGCUGGGGAAACUUGGUGUGCUAGCUCUAAGGAACACCACGGAGCGUGGAGUGGAGUGGAGACACCAUGGCUAGGCUCUGUAAUCAGGUGGGGCCUCGAUUGUUCUUGUGCACAAAGCUGCACUGUUUGCCACCCUAAGCCAAAGACCUGUCAUGUUUUGACAAAUGCUGUACCCUAGUGUUCUUUUUGCUCAUUAUAAUAUCAUUAUAAUACCAAAACACACCUCCAUCCCAAAAGCUACCCGCCUCCAAGGUGCGACCACCCCUCACUGAGCAUGCGCUCUGAAUUUCUCGGAGUCUAUUACUUUAAACGGAGACGGGAAAACUUUACACCAAUCAUAACUAAGAUAUGCUUGACUAGAGCCACUCAAGCUCCACCUAAACGAUAGAAAAUAAUAUAAAUUGGCCCAAGAGAGAGGGGAUGUUAGGGAAGAUACCAUCGUCAGGGGAGAUACCAUCCCGAGGACAUACAACAUCCUUAGGACCUCCUGACUCCUGGGAUCAGUCGACGGGCUGAGCCUCUCUUCCCCCCCCCAUUGGGACGCCUUUGGGAGCUGAAGACUGAUGCCAGGAAUGUUCCCAAUCUUUUCCUUGGCUGAACAGUUUUUUUGUUUUUUUUUCCCAGUCUUUCCUAAAAUAUCAUGGUUUCAGCAGACGCCGAUGUGGGACAAUGAAAUCUAACAGCAGCUAACAUUGCUGAACACCAGAAAAAUGGUGCAAUUUGCCAGAAUGAACAUUCUGCAUAUUUGUAAGUAGCUAAAUCUGUUGGCUUUUUCUUCUUGUUCUUUUUUUUUUUUUUGUGGGACUUGAGUUUUUCAUUAUGAAAAAGAAGAAGAGAAGGAAUUAAAUAAAGAAGAGAAAGACAAAGAAAAAUGA